AAAAAAAAAAAAAAAAAAAAACAGGUCAUUCCGCCACCCCAUUCAUCAACAGGGUAGAUUUGACUGAUCAGCUGACUAGGCAGAUGUCUCUUUCCUUCCUAGCCACUCCAAGUGCAUCCCUCCUGAAGCUGCAAAGAGGAGAAUAACCUUCCCUGAAUAGAGGAUAAUCGGUCUUCUGGUCAAGUGUUCAUAAGUAGCUAUGUUCCCCUGCUAGACAUCCCAAACAAGCUCUUAAGAAACCAGAAGAGAGCUCAGAAUUGUUCCUUAAACAGCAUUU
This 277-nucleotide small nuclear RNA is filed under the name Mus caroli (Ryukyu mouse). RNAcentral's name for it is "sRNA (MGP_CAROLIEiJ_G0008581.1)". It matches the Rfam family "7SK RNA", at positions 1 to 289 of the family's 331-position model. Rfam says of the family: 7SK was discovered as an abundant small nuclear RNA in the mid-70s but a possible function has only recently been suggested. Lineage: Eukaryota; Metazoa; Chordata; Mammalia; Rodentia; Muridae. The record is from RNAcentral.